AUACGGAGGGUCCAAGCGUUAUCCGGAUUCAUUGGGUUUAAAGGGUCCGCAGGCGGGAAAAUAAGUCAGUGGUGAAAGCCUACAGCUCAACUGUAGAACUGCCAUUGAUACUGUUUUUCUUGAGUAUAGAUGAAGUGGGCGGAAUAUAUCAUGUAGCGGUGAAAUGCCUAGAUAUGAUAUAGAACACCGAUUGCGAAGGCAGCUCACUAAACUAUUACUGACGCUCAGGGACGAAAGCGUGGGGAGCGAACAGGAUUAGAUACCCUAGUAGUCC
Molecule: ribosomal RNA, 274 nt
Filed under: uncultured bacterium
Lineage: Bacteria
Description: partial 16S ribosomal RNA
Rfam family: Bacterial small subunit ribosomal RNA
Source: RNAcentral